This 549-nucleotide ribosomal RNA is filed under the name uncultured bacterium. RNAcentral describes it as "partial 16S ribosomal RNA". It matches the Rfam family "Bacterial small subunit ribosomal RNA", at positions 355 to 889 of the family's 1533-position model. The record is from RNAcentral.
UGGGGAAUUUUGGACAAUGGGGGAAACCCUGAUCCAGCCAUCCCGCGUGUGCGAUGAGGGCCUUCGGGUUGUAAAGCACUUUUGGCAGGAAAGAAACGUCGCGGGUUAAUACCCCCGCGAAACUGACGGUACCUGCAGAAUAAGCACCGGCUAACUACGUGCCAGCAGCCGCGGUAAUACGUAGGGUGCAAGCGUUAAUCGGAAUUACUGGGCGUAAAGCGUGCGCAGGCGGUUCGGAAACGAAAGAUGUGAAAUCCCAGAGCUUAACUUUUGGAACUGCAUUCUUAACUACCCGGGGCUAGAGUGUGUCAGAGGGAGGUGGAAUUCCGCGUGUAGCAGUGAAAUGCGUAGAUAUGCGGAGGAACACCGAUGGCGAAGGCAGCCUCCUGGGAUAACACUGACGCUCAUGCACGAAAGCGUGGGGAGCAAACAGGAUUAGAUACCCUGGUAGUCCACGCCCUAAACGAUGUGCAACUAGCUGUUGGGGGCCCUUCGGGCCUUGGUAGCGCAGCUAACGCGUNAAGUUGACCGCCUGGGGAGUACGGUCGC